UGCCUGGCCCAUAAUUCAAUUUUAAUUACUUUUGUGUAUAUGACUGGAGGUAGGGAAUCCAACAUCAUGUUUUGCAUGUGGAUAUCCAGUUUUCCCAGCACUGUUUAUUGCUGAUUUUCAAAACUACUUAGGACCUGCUGGAGAAGAGAAUGGGAAUAGGACAAGUUGAAAUGCUACAAAACUCAUGCUCUUACAGAGAUUCAGCUGCUUUUCUUGAAUAAACACUCCUUGUAUUGUUGCAAGCCUUUGAUUCACUUCCAGAGUUCUGAAAAAGCUUAUUUGGAUAAUUUUUGCUAAAGUUUUUGUUACCAUUAUGAAACAGGUUCCUAGUUGACUAUUCUGGACAUCCUUCUCCCUGUUGGAAAGCUG
RNAcentral lists this long non-coding RNA (369 nucleotides) under Homo sapiens (human). RNAcentral's name for it is "non-protein coding lnc-ZCCHC9-3:1". The record is from RNAcentral. Lineage: Eukaryota; Metazoa; Chordata; Mammalia; Primates; Hominidae.